UAACGGCUGAACUGGCAACUUGGAGAAGUGGCAAGCCCUAUUUUGAUCAUAUCUUUGAAUAUGAUCUAUAGGGUUGUAUUAAAUUGAAUAAAGCUUUGUUUAUAUAUUGAUAAUGACAGUAUAUAUAUCGUGUCUUGACUAAUUCCGUGCCAGCAGUCGCGGUAAUACGUAAGAGACUAGUGUUAUUCAUCUUAAUUAGGUUUAAAGGGUACCUAGACGGUCAAUAUAGCUUCUAAAAUGUUAGUACUUGACUAGAGUUUUAUGUAAGAGGGCAGUACUUGAGGAGGAGAGAUGAAAUUCUAUGAUACCAAAGGGACUCGGUAAAGGCGAAGGCAGCCCUCUAUGUAAAAACNGACGUUAAAGGACGAAGGCACAGAGCACAAACAGGAUUAGAUACCCAAGUAGUCUUUGCAGUAAAUGAUGAAUGCCAUAGGUUAGAUUAAGAUUUAAUAUUAUAAUUUAAAAUUAAAUAUUAAACAUUAUUUGGUCUAUAAAUGAAAGUGUAAGCAUUUCACCUCAAGAGUAAUGUGGCA
Molecule: ribosomal RNA, 533 nt
Filed under: Trichoderma hunua
Lineage: Eukaryota; Fungi; Ascomycota; Sordariomycetes; Hypocreales; Hypocreaceae
Description: SSU rRNA
Rfam family: Bacterial small subunit ribosomal RNA
Source: RNAcentral